Molecule: long non-coding RNA, 665 nt
Organism: Papaver somniferum (opium poppy)
Lineage: Eukaryota; Viridiplantae; Streptophyta; Magnoliopsida; Ranunculales; Papaveraceae
Exons: 2
Source: RefSeq, a predicted model, not a curated record
UGUUUUGAUUGCAGUCGAGAGAGUAAUUUGAAGAUUGUAUUUUGAUUCAUAUUGCGAGUAUAUUUAUUAAUGAUAUAUGUUUUUAUGAUUUUGUAGGUUUGAAUAGAGUGAUUAAAAGAUUGUGGUUUACUUAUCUACCAGCAUAAAAGGAUCAUAUCUAGCAUUUGCAUUAGUAUUCAACGUCUUCUUUAAUUUGUAUAUUUAUCCCCUUUCUCCGAUUUGUAUUUGAAUGUGUGUUCUAAUAUGUUAUUGAUUUCCAUUCUUCCCCCUUUAUAUUGAUGUUGCAGGUGUUAAUUUUAUCAUCCACCUGAUGCCGAACAAACAAGCAAACUGUUUAUGCCUUUUUUGAUACCAACAUAAUAACAUCUUGGAGGAGACUCCUAUUGGGAUAUCUUAGGUUGUGCGAUAUUACGUAUUAUCAUUGGUGUUAAUGCAUUCAACUCCAUUUAGUUGUUAAAUUUGGAACACAGACGAAGGUUAAGGAUUAUUAGGCCGACCGACCGGAGGGCCUGAAGGGCCCGAAGAAAGGAAAUCCUUUUUAUGGACAUUUUUUUGUAAAAUAAAUAUAGGAACACAAAUAUUCAAUUUGAACUUUCAAAAAAAAAAAUGAAAAAAAAAAAUCAAAUCAAUUUGAUGGAUAAUACCAAUUUGAUACCCAGGCAGAA